UUCCCGAAUUUAAAAGAGCUAUAUAUUUUAUUGUAAUAAAUAUUUAAAAUAUGAAAUGAAACGUUAAUAUAUCUGGUUUUUUAAGAUAAUUUAAUUUUCUUAUAUUUUAAGGGAUGAGCUUUAAAUAGGAUUAAAAGUUUUGUUAUAAUUUGAUUAUUAAAAUUUUUUAUUAAAUUUAAUAAUUAAUAAUGGUUGAAUUAGUAUAAGGUUAAAAAAAGUAAUUCGGCAAAUAUUUUUCACCUGUUUAUUAAAAACAUGGCUUCUAGGUUAUAAUUAGAGGUCGAGCCUGCCCACUGAGGCCGCGGUACUCUGACCGUGCAAAGGUAGCAUAAUAAUUAGUUUUUUAAUUGAAAGCUGGAAUGAAUGGUUUUAUGAAAAAAUAACUGUCUCUUUUUAAUAAAAUUUUAUCUUUAGGUUAAAAAGCUUAAAUUUAAUUGAAAGACGAGAAGACCCUAUAGAGUUUUAUUUUGAUUGGGGCGAUUGAAAAAUUAAAUUAACUUUUGAUUACAAGAAUAAAUUACCUUAGGGAUAACAGCGUAAUCUUUUUUAGAGUUCAAAUCGAAAAGGGGGGUUGCGACCUCGA
This 583-nucleotide ribosomal RNA is filed under the name Phymatodes mediofasciatus. RNAcentral's name for it is "partial large subunit ribosomal RNA". The stretch from base 209 to 397 matches the Rfam family "Archaeal large subunit ribosomal RNA", at positions 1797 to 2106 of the family's 2987-position model. Lineage: Eukaryota; Metazoa; Arthropoda; Insecta; Coleoptera; Cerambycidae. The record is from RNAcentral.